GCUUGUCUCAAAGAUUAAGCCAUGCAUGUCCAAGUAUAAAUCUUUAUACGGUGAAACUGCGAAUGGCUCAUUAAAUCAGUUAUAAUUUAUUUGAUAGUACCUUACUACUUGGAUAACCGUGGUAAUUCUAGAGCUAAUACAUGCAUCAAGGCCCGACUUGUUGGAGGGCUGUAUUUAUUAGGUAAAAACCAAUGCUGGCAACAGCUUUCUGGUGAUUCAUAAUAACUUCUCGGAUCGUAUGACCUUGCGUCGACGACGUAUCAUUCAAAUUUCUGCCCUAUCAACUGUUGAUGGUAGGAUAGGGGCCUACCAUGGUGAUAACGGGUAACGGAGAAUUAGGGUUCGAUUCCGGAGAGGGAGCCUGAGAAAUGGCUACCACAUCCAAGGAAGGCAGCAGG
Molecule: ribosomal RNA, 398 nt
Filed under: uncultured Rozellomycota
Lineage: Eukaryota; Fungi; Rozellomycota
Description: uncultured Cryptomycota partial small subunit ribosomal RNA
Rfam family: Eukaryotic small subunit ribosomal RNA
Source: RNAcentral